ACUCAAAUGAAUUGACGGGGGAGCGCACAACCAGUGGAGCAUGUGGUUUAAUUCGAUACGAAGCGAAAAACCUUACCUAGGUUUGACAUGUACCUGCACGGCUAUGGAAACAUAGCUUUCUUCGAGAGUGGUACACAGGUGAUGCAUGGCUGUCGUCAGCUCGUGUCGUGAGGCGUCCGCUUAAGUGCGGUAACGAGCGCAACCCUUAUCGCCAGUUAUAUUUGUCUGGCGAGACUGCCUUUGUUUUUACAAGGGAGGAAGGAGAGGACGACGUCAAGUCAGCACGUCCCUUACAUCUAGGGCUACACACAUCCUACAAUGGAGCCGACAACGGGUAGCGAAAUGGUAACAUUGAGCUAAUCCUUAAACGGCCCCUCAGUUCGGAUUGAGGGCUGCAACCCGCCCUCAUGAAGCCGGAAUUGGUAGUAAUCGCAAAUCAUCAGGUUGCGGUGAAUACGUUCUCGCUCCUUGUACACACCGCCCGU
This 485-nucleotide ribosomal RNA is filed under the name uncultured bacterium. RNAcentral describes it as "partial 16S ribosomal RNA". It matches the Rfam family "Bacterial small subunit ribosomal RNA", at positions 899 to 1397 of the family's 1533-position model. The record is from RNAcentral.